AUGACAACGCAACCAACUUUUUGUGUAGUGCCUGCCUUUCACAUCAGAAACACGGUGCCCACAAGGGUGAGGGUGGGCUUUGCUCCCAGUGCUGCCUCCACAUCACAAGUCCUGUGGGGUGUAGACAUACAGCUGCACCCCACCCAUAUGUCUUUGAUCUAAGCCCAAGGAUCUUAGAGCCCAAGGAUUUUAAGCUGGUGGCCCUUUACCACUGAACCUGAAGAACCAUGCUCAUGAAGAAAAAGAUGAUGAACACUGAGACCAUCUGUGCUACAUGAAGGUUUGUAUCCUCAAGACAGCCAUAAUUCACAUUAAGGUCAUGACACAAGUUACAACCAACAAUAC
This is a long non-coding RNA of Oxyura jamaicensis (ruddy duck), 345 nucleotides long. RefSeq lists it as uncharacterized. NCBI's taxonomy places the organism in Eukaryota, Metazoa, Chordata, Aves, Anseriformes, Anatidae. The record is from RefSeq and is a predicted model, not a curated record. The transcript has 2 exons.